UACGGGGGGGGCAAGCGUUGUUCGGAAUUACUGGGCGUAAAGGGCUCGUAGGCGGCCAACUAAGUCGGACGUGAAAUCCCUCGGCUUAACCGGGGAACUGCGUCCGAUACUGGAUGGCUUGAGUUCGGGAGAGGGAUGCGGAAUUCCAGGUGUAGCGGUGAAAUGCGUAGAUAUCUGGAGGAACACCGGUGGCGAAGGCGGCAUCCUGGACCGACACUGACGCUGAGACGCGAAAGCGUGGGGAGCGAACAGG
RNAcentral lists this ribosomal RNA (253 nucleotides) under uncultured bacterium. Its description in RNAcentral is "partial 16S ribosomal RNA". It matches the Rfam family "Bacterial small subunit ribosomal RNA", at positions 524 to 776 of the family's 1533-position model. The record is from RNAcentral.